UACGGAGGGUGCAAGCGUUGUCCGGAAUCACUGGGCGUAAAGAGCUCGUAGGCGGUUUGUUGCGUCGGCUGUGAAAUCCCGAGGCUCAACCUCGGGUCUGCAGUCGAUACGAGCAAACUAGAGUGUUGCAGGGGAGACUGGAAUUCCUGGUGUAGCGGUGAAAUGCGCAGAUAUCAGGAGGAACACCGGUGGCGAAGGCGGGUCUCUGGGCAACAACUGACGCUGAGGAGCGAAAGCGUGGGGAGCGAACAGG
Molecule: ribosomal RNA, 253 nt
Filed under: uncultured bacterium
Lineage: Bacteria
Description: partial 16S ribosomal RNA
Rfam family: Bacterial small subunit ribosomal RNA
Source: RNAcentral